Molecule: signal recognition particle RNA, 272 nt
Filed under: Prolemur simus (greater bamboo lemur)
Lineage: Eukaryota; Metazoa; Chordata; Mammalia; Primates; Lemuridae
Description: Metazoan signal recognition particle RNA (ENSPSMG00000021091.1)
Rfam family: Metazoan signal recognition particle RNA
About the family: The signal recognition particle (SRP) is a universally conserved ribonucleoprotein. It is involved in the co-translational targeting of proteins to membranes.
Source: RNAcentral
GCCAGGCAAGGUGGCACUUGCCAGUAGUCCCAGCCACUCAGGAGGCUGAGGUGGGAGGAUCUCUUGAGCCUAGGCGUUCUGAGCUAUGGUGUGUUUGAAGUCAACAUGGUGACCUUCUGAGAGCAGGGGACCGCCAGGUUUGCCUAAGGAGGGGUGAACUAGCCCAGGUCAGAGACAGCAGGUCAAAACUCCUCUGUUGAUCAGUAACGGGAUCAUGCCUGUGAAUAACCACUGCACUCCAGCCUGGGCAACAUAAAGGAAACCCUGUCUAU